RNAcentral lists this long non-coding RNA (7669 nucleotides) under Triticum aestivum (bread wheat). Its description in RNAcentral is "long non-coding RNA (TAES_LNC017792)". The record is from RNAcentral. Lineage: Eukaryota; Viridiplantae; Streptophyta; Magnoliopsida; Poales; Poaceae.
UGCUGGUGUCCUUGGUGAGGGCCUUGUCGGGUGGCCCGGCAAAGGUCUUGCCGUGGCGCGCUGUCGUCUCCGGCAAGGGCCUUGCCGGGGGUCUGGUGGCCUUCCUCGGCAAGGAUCUUGCCGAGGAUCAUCGUCUUCUAAUCCUCAUCUGAUCUUGAAUAUGUAUUCACAAAGAUCUGCAUGCCACCACGGAGGUGCCUCCCGAGCCCUAGCCCAAUGUGAUGUUGGAGACCGUGGGCUCAAGGUGGCCCACUCUGUUGGUGCGGGGCGAGCUGUCCCGGCAAGGAUCUUCCCGGGGCUGCUGAGGCUGCCCCGCCAAGGGUCUUGCCGGGGGAAUCUGCUUCAUCCCUCUGCUCUUUGUGGUCUUGGCCUUGGCGUUGCUCUUAUUAUCUUGGGCUUUGGUCUUACCUUGGCUCACCUCCCCUGUUCUGCUUGGCGUGACCGUAGGCGCGGCUCCGACUGCCCGUGCACAGGUAUAGAGGUACAAAAACGCACCCCUCUUUUUGUACACCAACAUUCACUUCAAUACCUCUUUUAGAAAUUUUAUGGCCUAAAAAAAUACCUUCAUUAACCAUAAAGUGGCACCUCUCCCAAUUCAAGACAAGAUUUGUUUGCUCGCAGCUCUGCAAAACUCGAUCAAGAUUGCUUAAACAAUCAUCAAAAGACUUCCCAUAAACAGACAAGUGAUCCAUGAAAACCUCAACAAUCUUUUCACAAAAUUCAGAGAAUAUAGAAGUCAUACAUCUUUGAAAGGUAGCAGGUGCGUUGCAUAAACCAAAAGGCAUACGUCUAUAAGCAUAAGUUCCAAAGGGACAAGUGAAAGUGGUCUUUUCUUGAUCAGGUUGAGAAACAGGUAUUUGUGAAAAACCAGAAUAUCCAUGAAGGAAGCAAAAAUGUGUGCUCUUAGAUAAUCUUUCUAGCAUUUGAUCAAUAAAAGGCAAAGGGUAAUGAUCUUUUCUAGUUGCUUUGUUUAAUUUUCUAAAAUCAAUUACCAUUCUAUAGCCUGUAACAAUUCUAUGUGGAAUAAUUUCAUUCUUGUCAUUAGGAACAAUAGUAAUACCUCCUUUCUUAGGGACACAAUGAACAGGACUUACCCAUCUACUACUAGCUAUAGGAUAGAUUAUACCUGCUUCCAAUAGUUUUAGUAUUUCCGUUCUUACCACUUCCUUCAUUUUCCGAUUUAAUCGACGUUGAUGAUCAACAACGGGUUUAGCAUCAGGUUCCAUAUUAAUCUUGUGCUGACAUAGAGUGGGACUAAUGCCCUUUAAAUCAUCAAGAGUAUAUCCAAUAGCAGCACAGUGCUUCCUUUGAACUUUCAAUAAUAUUUCUUCAUGUUUUGAAAGGUUAGCACCAAUAAUAACAAGAUAUAUCUUCUUCUCAUCAAGAUAAGCAUAUUUCAAAGUGUCUGGCAAUUGUCUUAAUUCAAACACACGAUCACCUUUAGGUGGAGGAGGACCUCCUAGAGUUUCAGUAGGCAAAUUGUGUUUAAGCGUAAAGGACGUUGUUCAAAGAAAAUCUUAUAUAUUUCAUUUCUUUCAUGCAUAUGCAAAUCAUUUUCAUGGUCUAGUAGAUAUUGUUCUAGUGGAUCAGUAGGAGGCACAACAAUGGAAGCAAGACCAAUUAUUUCAUCCUUACUAGGAAAUUAUUUUUCAUGAAGCUUUCUACUAAACUUGGAAAAAUUAAACUCAUGAGACUUAUCACCAAAACAAACACCGACAAUUUGUUUGUCACAAUCUAUUUUAGCAUUAACGGUGUUCAAGAAAGGUCUACCAAAUAUAAUGGGACAAAAGUCAUCUUGUGGGGAACCAAGAACAAGAAAAUCAGUAGGGUAUUUUAUUUUCCCACACAAGACUUCAACAUCUCUAACAACCCCAAUUGGUGAUAUAGUAUCUCUAUUAGCAAGUUUAAUUCUAACAUCUAUGUCUUCUAUCUCUUCGGGUGCUAUGUCAUUCAUAAUUUCUUGAUAUAAGGAAUAAGGAAUAGCACUCACGCUAGCACCUAUGUCACAUAAACCAUGAUAACAGCGACCUCCUAUUUUAACUGAGAAACGGGCAUGCCAACAAUAGGUCUAUGUUUAUCCUUUUUAUCAGGUUUGGCAAUUCUAGCAGCUUCUUCACAGAAGUAAAUAACAUGCCCAUCUACAUUUUCUUCCAAGAGAUCCUUAACCAUAGCAACACUAGGUUCUACUUUAAUUUGUUCAUCAGGUUUAGGUGUUCUAAUAUAACUUUUGUUGACCACAGUUGAAACUUUAGCAUGUUCCUUUAUCCUAAUAGGGAAAGGUGGUUUCUCAAUAUAAGCAGUAGGAAUAACUGGAUCAACAUUAUAAAGUAUAGUUUCCUCUUUAGCUAGUACCAGUUCUUUAAUUUCUUAUUUAAUAGGUGGGUGAUAUUUAAACCACUUCUCUUUAGGGAGAUCAACAUGAGUAGCAAAUGAUUCACAAAAGGAGGCUACUAUCUCAGAGUCAAGUCCAUAUUUAGUGCUAAACUUUUGAAAAGCAUCGGUAUUCAUAAAAGAUUUAACACAAUCAUACUUAAGCUUAAUACCUGACUCUUUACCUUCUUCGAGUUCCCAAUCAUCAGAGUUGCGUUUAAUUCUUUCCAAAAGAUCCCACCGGAAUUCAAUAGUCUUCUUAAUAAAAGAACCAGCACAAGAAGUAUCAAGCAUGGAUCGAUCAUUAUGAGAAAGCCGAGCAUAAAAAUUCUGGAUAAUAAUUUCUCUUGAGAGCUCAUGAUUGGAGCAUGAAUAUAACAUUGGCUUAAGCCUCCCCCAAGCUAGAGCGACCCUUUCUCCUUCACGAGGCCAAAAAUUAUAUAUGUAAUUCCGAUCACGAUGAACUAAAUGCAUGGGAUAAUUUUUUUGGUGGAACUCCAAUUUCAAUCGAUUCCAAUUCCAAGAUCCAAUAUCAUCGCAUAGACUAUACCAUGCCAAUGUUUUUCCCUUCAAAGAUAAAGGGAAAACCUCCUUCUUAAAUUCAUCUUAGGGUAAACCUGCAAGCUUAAACGAUCCACAUAUUUGUUCCACAUAUAUCAAGUGCAUAUCAGGAUGUUCGGUUCCAUCCUGCACAAGGAUUAGCUAGCAGCUGUUCUAUCAUACCCGAAGGAAUUUCAUAUUCAAUAUUUUCAGUACGUGCAGUAGGUUGAGGGGUAGCUAAUUGUGGUUCCGGUCAAGGUGAAGAUACCCCGAACAAACCCCUCGAAGGAUUGUUUUCCAUAGUAACAAGUGACAGUAAAUUUCAGCACACUAUAUAAAUGUUUCCUUACCAAAUUCCACUUACCAAAGGCGCUUCACUCCCCGGCAACGGCGCCAGAAAAUAGCCUUGAUGACCCACAAGUAUAUUGGAUCAAUUGUAUCUCUUUUCAAUAAGUAAGAGUGUCGAACCCAACGAGGAGCAGAGGGAAAUGACACGUGGUUUUCAGCAAGGUAAUGUCUGCAAGUGCUGAAGUUGUAAGUAACGGAGUAGUUUGAUAGCAAGAUAAUUUGUAACGAGCAAGUAACGACUGUAGUAACAAAAGGGCAUCAAGGUAGCCCGAUCCUUUUGAGGCAAAGGACAGGCCAAAAAGGUCUCUUAUAAUAGGCAAAGCAUUCUUGAGGAUACUGAUACGUCUCCAUCAUAUCUACUUUUCCAAACACUUUUGCCCUUGUUUUGGACUCUAACUUGCAUGAUUUGAAUGGAACUAACCCGGACUGACGUUGUUUUCAGCAGACUUUCCAUGGUGUUAUUUAUGUGCAGAACAAAAGUUCUCGGAAUGACCUGAAACUCCACGGAAUGUAUUUUUGGAAAAUAUUAAAAAUACUGGAAGAAGAAUCCACGCCAGGGGGGCCUCCAACUGUCCACGAGGGUGGGGGCACGCCUGCCCCCCUGGGCGCGCCUCCCUGCCUCGUGGGCCCCCUGACGCUCCACCGACCUCAACUCCAACUCCAUAUAUUCACUUUCGGGGGGAAAAAAUAAGGGAGAAGGAUUCAUCGCGUUUUACGAUACGGAGCCGCCGCCAAGCCCUAAAACCUCUCGGGAGGGCUGAUCUGGAGUCCGUUCGGGGCUCCGGAGAGGGGAAUCCGUCGCCAUCGUCAUCAUCAACCAUCCUCCAUCACCAAUUUCAUGAUGCUCACUGUCGUGAGUAAUUCCAUCGCAGGCUUGCUAGACGGUGAUAGGUUGGAUGAGAUUUAUCAUGUAAUCGAGUUAGUUUUGUGAGGGUUUGAUCCCUUGUAUCCACUAUGUUCUGAGAUUGACGAUGCUAUGACUUUGCUAUGCUUAAUGCUUGUCACUAGGGCCCGAGUGCCAUGUGAGGGUAGGACAAAAGAUGUCAUGCAAGUUCUUUUCCAUAAGCACGUAUGACUAUAUUCGGAAUACAUGCCUACAUUACAUUGAUGAAUUGGAGCUAGUUCUGUGUCACCCUAUGUUAUGACUGUUACAUGAUGAACCACAUCCGGCAUAAUUCUCCGUCACCGAUCCAAUGCCUACGAGCUUUUCACAUAUUGUUCUUCGCUUAUUUACUUUUCCGUUGCUACUCUUACAAUCACUACAAAACCCAAAAAUAUUACUUUUGCUACUGUUACCGUUACUUCCACAUUACUUUGCUACUAAAUACUUUGCUGUAGAUACUAAGUUAUCCAGGUGUGGUUGAAUUGACAACUCAACUGCUAAUACUUGAGAAUAUUCUUUGGAUCCCCUUGUGUCGACUCAAUAAAUUUGGGUUGAAUACUCUACCCUCAAAAACUGUUGCGAUCCCCUAUACUUGUGGGUUAUCAAGACUAUUUUCUGGCGCCAUUGCCGGGGAGCAUAGCUAUAUUCUUUGAGUCACUUGGGAUUUAUAUCUGCUGGUCACUAUGAAGAACUUGAAAGACGAGAAAACAAAAAUUUAUUCCUCAACUACGAGGGGAGGUAAGGAACUUCCAUCUAGCUCUGCACUUGAUUCACCCUCUGUUUUGAGUAAGCCUGCGACACCUAAACCUGCUUCUGCUAUUCACUCUGAUAUGUCGCAUGUUAUUGAUGAUGCCACUUCUACUAUGCAUGAUACUUAUGAUGAACUUCUAUGCUUGAUACUACUAUGCCACUUGGUGAAUUUCUUGAUGAACAACUUGCUAGGGCUAGAGAGAAUGAAAUUAUUUAAACUGGUAAUAUUGAAGAUAGUGAUGAUGAAGACUCUCCCCCUAAUAAAUAUGAAUUACCUGUUGUGCCUGAGGGUUAUGUUCUGGAUGAAGAAUCUGCUAGAGCUAUUCUUGCUUGCAAUGAUAGAAGUGAUCUUAAGAAGCUAUUAGCUAAAUGGAAGCACCAAUCUCUUAAUGCUAGAAAGAAACCUGACCUUGCUUUUGCUACUUCACCUAUCUGUGUUACUGAUAAGGAUUAUGAGUUCUUUGUUGAUCCUGAUAUAAUUACUUUGCUUGAAUCCGAUCCUUUUUAUGGCUAUGAAUCUGAAACUGUUGUGGCACAUCUUACUAAAUUAAAUGUUAUAGCCACCCUGUUCACUAAUGAUGAGAAAUCUCGCUACCUUUAUAUCCUUAAAUUAUUUUCGUUCUCAGUAAAGGGUGAUGCUAAGAUAUGGUUUAAUUCUCUUGAUCCUGGUUGUGUGCAUAGUCCCCAUGAUAUGAAUUAUUACUUCUCUGCUAAAUAUUUCCCUGCUCAUAAGAAACAAGCUACUUUAAGGGAUAUAUACAACUUUGUGCAAAUUGAAGAAGAGAGUCUCCCACAAGCUUGGGGGAGGCUUCUCCAAUUACUUAAUGCUUUGCCUGAUCAUCCUCUUAAGAAAAAUGAAAUACUUGAUAUCUUUUAUAGUGGACUAACCGAUGCUUCCAGAGAUUACCUGGAUAGUUGUGCUGGUUCUGUUUUCAGGGAAAGAACAUCGGAUGAAACUGAAAUUUUCUUGAAUAAUAUGUUGAACAAUGAAAAUAAUUGGACACUUUCUGAGCCUAUUCCUAAACCAACUCCGAAGAAGAGAGGUGUUCUAUUUCUCAGUCCUGAAGAUAUGCAAGAGACAAAGAAAUCUAUGAAAGAAAAAGGUAUUAAAGCUGAAGAUGUUAAGAAUUUACCUCCGAUUGAAGAAAUACAUGGUCUUAAUUUACCGCCUGUCGAAGAAACAUAUGAUCUUAAUCCCUCACCUAUUGAAGAAACUCAUGGUCUUGAUAACCCGACACAGGUAGUAAAGGUAAAUUCACUCUAUAGAUUUGAUGAAGGUGAUACUCCUCGUUAUAAGUCUGCUAGACAAUGCUUAGAUGAGUUUGACAAUUUUAUUGUUAAACAAGAGAACUUCAAUGCUUAUGUUAGUAGACAAUUGAAAUACAAUUCAAAUAUGCUUGAACACUUGAGUAAUUACAUGGCUAAUGUUAAAGGUGAACUUAAACUCAUUAGUAAACAUGCUUCUAUGGUUACCACUCAAGUAGAACAAGUACUUAAAGCUCAAAAUGAUUUGCUCAAUGAAUUGAAUAAUAAGAAGAAUGAUUAUGCUGUUAGAGUGGCUACUAGAACUGGUAAAAUGACUCAGGAACCUUUGUAUCCUAAAGGCCACCCUAAGAUAAUUGAACAAGAUUCUCAGAGAAAUCAUUUAGAUGCACCUAGUCCUUCUAAAAAGAACAAAAAGAAAAAUGAUAGGGCUUUGCAUGCUUCUAGUGAACCUAUUGCUGAACCGAAACACAAUCUGGUAAUGAACAUGAAACUAGUGAUAAUGUUAAUGAUGAUGCUCAACCUAGUAAUGAUAAUGAUGUAGAAAUUGAACCUGCUGUUGAUCUUGAUAACCCACAAUCAAAGAAUCAACGUUAUGAUAAGAAAGACUUUGUUGCUAGGAAACAUGGUAAAGAAAGAUAACCAUGGGAUGUCCCGUCGUUAUGCCAUCACGAAGGUGCUGGCCCGGUCCCGUGUACGUCUCGUGAGAAAUCCUGACCCUACACCCGAACGUGGCUCGGGAAACAGGAAAGUACCCCGUUACGUACACGAUCCGACCGACGGUAAACAGUCGCAACGGUGUGCCUCGAAUGUCGCCUCUGGAAAACCGUUGCCCCCCGGGGGCAACGUCAUCGCUGUCCCGGUCCCCUGUACGUCUCAAGUGAAAUUCUGACCCAACAACCGAAUGCGGCUCGGGAAACAGGAAAGUAGCCCGUUUCGUGCACGAUAAGACCGUCGGACAACGUUGCACCGACGUCCCGAUUAAGUUGCCUUCGGAAAAUCGUUGCAUCCGUAACUUUAUUGCUGCGGGUGUGACACACGCGUGAUUUGGCCUUGCAGGACGCCUUCGUGCAAGUGAUCCUCCUGUGCUCUGCACGGGCGGAGGCUUGGUUAGUUUGACCGCUUGUUGGCUACUAAGCGCAUGAGUAGCUUUGGACCCGUGUCUGCCGGUAGAUCCCCCGUUGUACUGCGGCCGACUACCGACGCCGUGUCCCGUCCCUUGUGUGGCUUUGAAUCGCUGGAUUAAGAGUGCUUGCGUGCUAGUACCCGACCUACGGGAAGUGGCGCUUCGGAUAAUUGUUGCCUCGCGGCGGACGCCCUUUGGGUGUGCUGCUGCGGCCAAAUAGCGCUUGCGGCGUUGCCUCGUGGCGCUGGCACGUUACGUGCCUGCUGCUAUCAAGGCAACCUCGCUCCCGCUUUUGGUAUCGGAUGCUGCUGACGAUAAAGGGUCGUGGCCCUUUCGGUUGCCUCGACCCGACCCAAAGCUCUCUGAAUUGAGAACAACCGGAACAGGAG